AAUGAACGCUGGCGGCAUGCCUAACACAUGCAAGUCGAACGAAGCCUUCGGGCUUAGUGGCGCACGGGUGCGUAACGCGUGGGAAUCUGCCCUUGGGUUCGGAAUAACAGUGGGAACUACUGCUAAUACCGAAUGAUGUCGUAAGACCAAAGAUUUAUCGCCCAGGGAUGAGCCCGCGUAGGAUUAGCUAGUUGGUGUGGUAAAGACGCACCAAGGCGACGAUCCUUAGCUGGUCUGAGAGGAUGAUCAGCCACACUGGGACUGAGACACGGCCCAGACUCCUACGGGA
RNAcentral lists this ribosomal RNA (289 nucleotides) under uncultured bacterium. Its description in RNAcentral is "partial 16S ribosomal RNA". It matches the Rfam family "Bacterial small subunit ribosomal RNA", at positions 29 to 346 of the family's 1533-position model. The record is from RNAcentral.